GUAAGGAAUAUUGGUCAAUGGGGGCAACCCUGAACCAGCCAUGCCGCGUGAAGGAUGAAGGCGUUAUGCGUUGUAAACUUCUUUUGUAUGGGAAGAAUGACAGGGAUUCAUCCUUGGAGAGACGGUACCAUACGAAUAAGCACCGGCUAACUCCGUGCCAGCAGCCGCGGUAAUACGGAGGGUGCAAGCGUUAUCCGGAAUCACUGGGUUUAAAGGGUACGUAGGCGGUUAAUUAAGUCAGUAGUGAAAGACUGUCGCUCAACGACGGAUGUGCUAUUGAUACUGGUUAACUUGAAUAAGGUUAGAGUUGGCGGAAUGGGUCAUGUAGCGGUGAAAUGCUUAGAUAUGACUUGGAACACCGAUAGCGAAGGCAGCUGACUGAGCCUUGAUUGACGCUGAGGUACGAAAGUGUGGGUAGCGAACAGGAUUAGAAACCCGGGUAGUCC
RNAcentral lists this ribosomal RNA (446 nucleotides) under uncultured bacterium. Its description in RNAcentral is "partial 16S ribosomal RNA". It matches the Rfam family "Bacterial small subunit ribosomal RNA", at positions 354 to 796 of the family's 1533-position model. The record is from RNAcentral.